GGGAACUUUAGACAUUCCCUUUCUUGAGCAAGCAUGACCCAAGGCAUAGUUCUCUUGUAGGAGAUUAAAUUACAGACCCUACUCUCUAACUGAGACUCCUCAGACAUUCACUCCCUGCUCAAGGGUUCUUUAGACUUACCCUCCACGACGAAGGAGACUUAAGAGCUUACCUUUUUGUUCAUGGUGGCCUCACACAAACCCCUUCAACUAAGACUCAGGUGCUUUUCCAUCUGAUGUGGGGAUGGGGGCAUGGAACCACAAUUUUGACCGAAAAUACCACAGAGCACUCUAGAUUGCAGUUCUAUGGCAGGGGAUUAAAAUCCUCAGCCAGGGAACACAGGCCAUCUAAUUCUUAGCUGGUCACCAGUACUUAGGAGGAAUCCAUUCUUAAUGACAACACCUGUGCAGUUGAGCAUAAGCAGCUGAUAGAGAGCCAGACAGGAACAUCCAACCUACUAGAAGAAUGCUCAGAUUGCUGCGAGAUACGCAAUGGGAUUCUCGAAGAUACCAAUUUUCCUGACUUCAAUGAAGAUGUGGAAGAUGACAAGACAUUUCCUGGGACGUCUUCCUCUACAGAAGAUUACACUGAAUACAUGAACAGACACUCAGACUAUUGGAACAAUGUUGAUGUUGCUGUCUGGUCACAACCAUAUUCAACAAAAAAUAUGGAUAUUCAAAAUUCUGAAGACAAUUUUGAAGGUGACAAGAACUUCAGGGACCUUUCUCCACUGCACAAGGGAAGAUGAUGCCAAACUAAAAGCAUAACUCAGGCCCUGUGCCUUUAUCCUGGUCAACAGAAAUGGAAUGUUCCCAUCAUUUGCUUUCAGACCUGCUCAUCUGAACACAGCCUUGAGGGAUCAUCAAAAUACCCUGACUGCUGCCUGGACUCCUGAAGAUUCUACUGGGUAAUUGUAAGUGGGAAAAAUAUUUGAAAGCUAAUGAGGCAAUUCUGGAGACCUAUUCAACUCCCCAAGGUUAACUGGACCUUCAUCUUCUGCCCAAGAGAAAACUGGAUUUUCCAGUUCUGCCAAUCCUGGCCAGGGACUCUUCCUCCCUGAAUAAGGUAGUUCAGAAUGUCUCCCUUUGCCAAAUAAGCCUCAGAAGAUGUCUUUCAGACAGACCGUAUCAGAACUCUUCUCUUCCCUAGACAACUCCCAUUCUUUUUUAAAGAAAGAAUUCAUCAGAACUAAUUCAAUGUCAUAGUGAGGGUCAAUCCUUCCUCUCUUAACAAUGUGGCCUUGGACAUUAUCCUCUGACCAAAAAAGCAUAAGAACUACUGUCUUUGACCUAGGGAAUUCUGACAUUUUCUAUGUGUCUUAUGUGGUACUAAAUGUUCCCUUUUGAAUAAGAAGGCAUCAUGCCUGUACUCAUUGUCCUUUGGAUUUCCAGAGCAUCCCUUUAUUUACAUGGAAACCACAGAUCUACCACUAGCUGACAGAACCUUAAACAUUCUUACUCACUGGGAGCUGGAGUCGUGAAAUAGGAGACUAGACAAAUAUUCCUAAGGUAAAGGAACCUUAGACUACUCUGGUGUGAGGUCCCAGAGCAAGGAACUCACAUAAUCUGCCCUUAAGCUUGUCACAGGAAAUAGUGAGGACACACCCUAUGUGCCAACACCUGUGUAGCUUGAGGAGGUCACCAAGACAGAUACAGUUAACCAGCAUGUCAGAAAAAUGGUCAGAUUCCUUCAAGAACUUCAUGGAGUUUCCAAUGUAGGACUGUUUUAGACUUUGAUGAAGAGCUGGUAUCUGAGGAGGAAAAGCCCUGUCCAGGAGGCCUCAUGUUCCUCCACUGCACAAGGUUCCACUGAAGACAUCUUAAACUGAUGGAUAUAUUACACUGUGACAGAUCAUUGGAAGCUGUUGAAGAAAUGUUUAAGCCUCACAGCAGAGAAGACAGUAUGGUAGACAAGUCAACUUGUCCUCUACGUGAUCUGGGCAUUUUAACACAAACUACUAGAGAUGACAGUCGUCCAAGCUGAGUACUAAGAUUGUACCCAACGACUGAUGACUGUAAGCAAAAUAUGGAUGAGAUACACUGUAAAAUAUACUUGAAGCAAUAUUCAGUAAUGAGAUCUUCCUUCACAGAAGAAGGUCCAGAACACUGAAGACAAACCAGAGGAGAAGACCAGGACAUGAAUGGAAAUCCAGGCUGUUUUAAAAAGGCUGAGGUUGCUGCUUGGUCUCUACCGGAUUCAAAACAACCUAUGGAUAUUUAAAAUCAUGAAGACUUUGAAGCUGAUGAGCAGUGCUAGGACUUUCUCUACUUCCCAAGACCUACUCAGCUGAACCCAAACUUGCAGAGUCACCAAAUCUCAGGUCCCUCCCUCAGCCUGGUCACAAGUUCUCUGACUGCUUCCCAGGCUCCAGAAGGUGCAACUCGAGGUAUGGUAUCUGUAAAUGGGGUGAAAGGUGGAAGCUAAUGAGACUGUUCUGGAAUCUUCUUCACUAUCCAAGGUAACAUGGGUUCUUCAAGGAAAACUGGAUUAUUUCAUUUGUCAAAAUGGCCAGGCAAUUUUGCUGUAAGGAAGUUCAGAACUUUACCUUUUCCCAAAAGAACGGCACGUUGGUUUUGUAACUCAGAUCACUGCCUUACUCCUGUUUCCUUCAAUAUCUAUGUUCUAUCCUAUAUGCCCAGACCUGUUAAGAUGAACAUACUCUGGAGGAGGACACUGAGCCAAAGACUGCCAUGGAGUCUCUGAGAAGAACUUUAAGACUGUUGCCAUGCCG
This is a long non-coding RNA of Nannospalax galili (Upper Galilee mountains blind mole rat), 2729 nucleotides long. RefSeq lists it as uncharacterized. NCBI's taxonomy places the organism in Eukaryota, Metazoa, Chordata, Mammalia, Rodentia, Spalacidae. The record is from RefSeq and is a predicted model, not a curated record. The transcript is spliced from 7 exons.